RNAcentral lists this ribosomal RNA (459 nucleotides) under uncultured bacterium. RNAcentral's name for it is "partial 16S ribosomal RNA". It matches the Rfam family "Bacterial small subunit ribosomal RNA", at positions 338 to 795 of the family's 1533-position model. The record is from RNAcentral.
CCUACGGGAGGCAGCAGUGAGGAAUAUUGGUCAAUGGACGCAAGUCUGCACCAGCCAUGCCGCGUGCAGGAAGACGGCUCUAUGAGUUGUAAACUGCUUUUGUACGAGGGUAAAUACCGAUACGUGUAUCGGGUUGAAAGUAUCGUACGACUAAGGAUCGGCUAACUCCGUGCCAGCAGCCGCGGUAAUACGGAGGAUUCAAGCGUUCUCAGGAUUUAUUGGAUUUAAAGGGUGCGUAGGCGGAAGAUCAAGUCAGCGGUAAAAUUGAGAGGCUCAACCUCUUCGAGCCGUUGAAACUGGUUUGCAUGAGUGAGUGAGAAGUAUGCGGAAUGCGUGGUGUAGCGGUGAAAUGCAUAGAUAUCACGCAGAACUCCGAUUGCGAAGGCAGCAUACCGGCGCUCAACUGACGCUCAUGCACGAAAGUGUGGGUAUCGAACAGGAGUAGAUACCCUAGUAGUC